AAUAGAAGGUCUCGCCUGCCCUGUGACCAUGAGUUUAACGGCCGCGGUAUUUUGACCGUGCAAAGGUAGCGCAAUCACUUGUCUUUUAAAUGAAGACCUGUAUGAAUGGCAUAACGAGGGCUUAACUGUCUCCCUUUUCCAGUCAAUGAAAUUGAUCUCCCCGUGCAGAAGCGGGGAUUAAAACAUAAGACGAGAAGACCCUAUGGAGCUUUAGACAAAGAGCAGACCAUGUUAAACACACCUAAAUAAAGGACAAAACCAAUUGGCCCCUGCCCUUAUGUCUUUGGUUGGGGCGACCGCGGGGAAACAAAAAACCCCCAUGUGGACUGAAGACAUUCCUCUUCACAACCAAGAGCCACAGCUCUAAGCAACAGAACAUCUGACCAACAAGAUCCGGCACUAAGCCGAUCAACGGACCGAGUUACCCUAGGGAUAACAGCGCAAUCUCCUUUUAGAGCCCCCAUCGACAAGGAGGUUUACGACCUCGAUGUUGGAUCAGGACAUCCUAAUGGUGCAGCCGCUANUAAGGGUUCGUUUGUUCAACGAUUAAAGUUC
This is a ribosomal RNA of 555 nucleotides. It matches the Rfam family "Bacterial large subunit ribosomal RNA", at positions 1844 to 2596 of the family's 2925-position model.